Long non-coding RNA from Sinocyclocheilus anshuiensis, 356 nucleotides. RefSeq lists it as uncharacterized. The transcript is spliced from 3 exons. NCBI's taxonomy places the organism in Eukaryota, Metazoa, Chordata, Actinopteri, Cypriniformes, Cyprinidae. The record is from RefSeq and is a predicted model, not a curated record.
CUUGUUGACAUAAUGACUACAAUAAGCAUGGUCAGCGGUUUGCCUUCUGGACUGAUGAGGCCAGAAACUUGCUCCAAGGAACUCUUCAGCCAGUGUACAGAGUGCUAGCUCAGAGGAAAUCCACAUUCAGGCUGUCGAUGACCACACUGCAGAGGGUGUACUCAACGGGAAGCCCUCUAAGUGGUCUCAUAAGCUAACCUCCUCCCGAGUGUCUGUCUACCUCGACAGUGAGGAACAACUGUCCUGUUUUGAGAGGAGUGCUGCACAGGACACCAACACAACUGAGCUUCACAGAUGAAGUGCAGAGGUAUGCCGGACCAUGUAAUGUGUUUGUGAGUGUCCUGCUCCUGCACUUA